GGAUUUGUGCUUUCUGGACCGGACCUUUCCACCUCUGACCUCUGAGUCUGGAGAAAUACAUACGCAAAACAUUUCUGAAGAAUUUCUCUGGCAUACAAUUUUUGGUGGAUAACAGGGAGGACAGCUGAGCUUCUGGGCGAAUCAGUCUAAUGCUCUGGGGAGAGAUCUGAUUGGAGACUGUCAUUAUCAUAUAGCCGAUAAGAAAAGCCGUGCAUGGUGGAAGAGGCAUGAUCAGCCUGUGUGCGACCCUGGGAUGGGGGGGUGGGGUUUUGCAGCUCACCCCCCCCACCCCCGCUGCCUUUGUAACCAUCUUACACUGUGUCUGUAUGCUACUAAAUUCUAACAAAGUUAUCAAAUCAUCGCUCCAUUUCCUAUGUAGGCUGGAGUUGGUUACCAUUGAGUCACAUGUACGGCAUUGGGCAGUGGUGUGAUUCAAGCUACGCAUCCACUAUAAUCAUGCAAUCUUACAAUACAGUUCAAAUAUCAGAAUGCAUGCUUUCAUGCCUUUGAACAAGGGAAGAGCACUCUGAAUGCUGCAACAGUAUAUGGGUAAAAAAAUCUCUGUAGUCACCAUAGAUUUGGGUUUCUCUGUAAUUACCUUAGAGAGUGUGCCAGGAACACAGUCAUUAUAAUUCAAAGUACAUUGUUUAUCUGUAAGGCUGUGCUGCUGUAUCACCUACAUGUCGAUUCUGGCUUUAUCUUCAAGGCGCUUUGCCAGCUACUGUAUUACUCCGGCUGCUUGCAAAGAUUUUCACAUACUUUGUUAAACCAUUUUUUUUUUGUUUUAAUUUUUAGACAUUACCUAAUGCUUGAGUGUCACUGGCACGUGUGACUGUUCAUUAGCGCAAAUGAGCACAUUCAUCAUAACGCUACUCCAGCGCCAUGGCAACAGGCUGAAUCAGGGCAUUCUGUGGAGCCGGAACAUGCCAUUGACAAUAUGAAAAACGUAUUAAAAUGCCAGGAUAGUAACAGCCCAGUCCGCGCACAGGCUAUCUCCGCCAUUGGAUUGUCAUGUGAUCUGCAUAACACCUUGGCUGUUAAACCCUGGGUGAAUGUUUCACCUCUAUACCUGUGGUGUACCACAGAGUAUGCAGACCUUUAGAAUUAAGUAUAUAAAAGCAAUAAAUCAAAUUAAUGUUUUCUCAGUAAGCAUUUCUUAUGAAAAAUAUUGGUAGUGUUCCAAGUAACAACUAUAAAUGCAUUCUGUAACCUUGUGUCUACCACAGAAUGUCUAUUAACUAGAAGCAGGCAUGUUAUUUAGAUAACCACUAUGUUGGGUACUAUGGUUUAAGUACUACAUGAGUAAACAAUGUAGUUCCAUUAUUUUGUCUUGCACAACAAUAUCCAUGUUACAGUCAUACAUCCAUCUAUCCAUCCAUCUUUCAUAGCUGUUAAUACACUAAAUGGACAAAAGUACCGGGACCCCAUAGUAAUUAUAGGAAUCGGCACAUAAGCCACACCCACUGCUGACAUACAGGUGUAUAAUUAUGCAGGCAGACAUGCAAUCUGCAGCAUUAAACAAUGGGGGCAGAAUGGGUGGUCAUACAGAGGAGGUUAGUCGGCCUGGAACCGUCAUUGAACACCACUGGACAAGUCAGUUUCCCACAUUUCUGUCCUGCUAGAGCUGCCCUGGUCAACUGUAACUGCAGUGAUUUUGAAGUGGAAACAUCUGGGAGCAAGUUCAGCUGCGAGGUGGGGGCCACACAAGAGAGGGACCUGAUCACCCAACAUCAAUACCCAACCUGAAUGGCAGCAAAUCCCACCAGCAAUGUUCCAGCCUCUAAUGGAAAGCCGUCCCAGAAGAGCACAGGCUAUUAUAGCCACUGAGGCUAAUUUUUGUGCCAUGGCCAUUGUGAAAUGGCGGCAGACUGCUCAAUUGGUCCAACACUGAUGAACCCCCCGAAUUCACUGAUCAGAGGAAUCUUCACGGCUGGCAGCUGGGACUGUGUUAAGGAUACAACUGAGAUGCUGAAAGUCGCUCGAGUGUGAAGGAUCUUCAAGUCCUCUCCUCCAUUCAGUCGUGAGGCUUCGUACGAGCCUCCAAGCGGGCAAGAUGCACGCCAGCUCUGUCUUCCUGGUAAACAACCCCCUGGAUAGAAGGCUGGACCGGGCUGCAUAAACGAUGAUGGAGGGAGGAAGAGGGUCCCCUCAACGCUGGGCACAGCGGCCCGGUGCGGCGCCGGCUGGCAGAGGGAGCGGGAGGAGGCAGGGGGGGGGCUUGCGGAUGUCCCAGCUGGCCUCACUUGGAGCACUUCCUCUGAGCCGUCAGCCUGGCUGAAAUCCCUCUGUGAUCAAAGGCGAAAUGAAAAGGCAGGGAGGAGAGGGCCAACACUGAGAUGUUUGCUGGAUGAAAAGGCAGGGGGAGUGAGGCUGGGGGCGGAGGACAACAACAAAAACAUUCUUUGUUUGCAGAAAGGCAGCUGCCCUGACCAAGGCACCUGUAAUUCCUCAGAACUAUCCCUCCAUUGUUUGCUGGCAAAAGUCAUCGCGAGACUGACAGAGCUGAGGGUUUCCAUGGCGAUGCUAGCCGGAGCUUAAGAAUGGAUAACACUCAUUAGGUGAGUGGAUCUGGAAGGUUUCCUUCCUCUCGGCUUGAGAGACAGCUAUUGAUAAGGGGCUUAUCCGAAGGUGCUACAUACCUUAAUACUAAACACCUGGAAUUUAAGCUGGAUUCAUGAAUAGUACAAUAAAACUUCCAACCGACGCUCCUUGUCUGUGGCACGAGGGAACAAAAGCUCAUGAAAAAAGAUCACAAUAGAGGGGUGUUAAUUAAAAUUUUGAAUUUUAGUGACUACUGCUUUAAAUAUUCCUAUUACAGAGAACUUUUUUUUGUGGUAACUUGGGAAACUGACACUGAAUCAUGCAGUUUGAAUAAUUAAAAUGUACACAGCGAAUUUGCUUUCAGUAAUUUGAAAUUGCAUUACCCCACCCAAAUCGCGGGAUAUAAAAACUCACAAUGUUUUACAAAACUUCAGACACUUAAUAUGCAAAUAUCGUCUGUGUCUGCUAACUUAAUUAUUCCUUUAAAGUCAAGUUUCAUAUUCAUUUCCAAGUGACUUCCUCUGAAUAAAUAAUUCAGUGUAUGACUUCCAUGCUAUCGUUCACUUCUAUGAUUGCAUUUGCAUUUGUAUGUUUCACGUGUGAUCCCUGCAUUCAUCUCGCCGCUCUCGUGUUCAGUAAAUCUCCUAUUAUGGAUGUGGGAGACCAUGUGAAAUGCGACUGCAGCAUUUGACUGUGACGGGCCGCCUGAACCCCUUUCCAAGAUGGACAAGUGACUGCUGACUCUCACCCGACAGCGACAGCUGUCUCGAGCUGCUGCACACAGGGCUCUCCAUGGAGAGAUACGUAAGGUUGAUCCUACCUUCGGCCAUUAGAUUCUUCAACGAGUCACCCUAUGGCAGUGGGAGACCACCAACAAUAUGAAUGGACCAGAACUGCUGAGGCACCUUCACAGAACAUUCAUUCACAGUACAACCCCACUGUGCAAUACCCACUGUGCAAUACCCACUGUGCAAUACCCACUGUGCAAUACCCACUGUGCAAUACUGUCUAUUUCUGAACCAUUUCUACGGAUUUCCCUGCAAUGCUUUCCCUGACAUUCUUACUGUUACUGUUUAUUGUUUGUUAUUUAUUGUUACUGUCUAUGGAAUCACUUUGCAUGAGGGGGCACAAGAUACUUAGUAAUUCAUUAACUACUCAAGUACAAGACAAACAUAGUAACUGCAUGAAUUACAUGAACCAUUAUGAUUGAAUAAUGAUGAACAAACAUAGGAUCGGAAUGUAACUAACAUUUAUUUAUUGGUUAAUCAAUACAGUAUCAAUACAAUCCGUAAA
Molecule: long non-coding RNA, 3834 nt
Organism: Brienomyrus brachyistius
Lineage: Eukaryota; Metazoa; Chordata; Actinopteri; Osteoglossiformes; Mormyridae
Exons: 3
Source: RefSeq, a predicted model, not a curated record